This 25-nucleotide non-coding RNA is filed under the name Rattus norvegicus (Norway rat). Lineage: Eukaryota; Metazoa; Chordata; Mammalia; Rodentia; Muridae. The record is from RNAcentral.
UUUGUAGAUGUGUCGCUUCCAUGUC